RNAcentral lists this ribosomal RNA (600 nucleotides) under uncultured bacterium. RNAcentral's name for it is "bacterial SSU rRNA". It matches the Rfam family "Bacterial small subunit ribosomal RNA", at positions 879 to 1482 of the family's 1533-position model. The record is from RNAcentral.
AGUACGAUCGCAAGAUUAAAACUCAAAGGAAUUGACGGGGCCCCGCACAAGCAGCGGAGCAUGCGGCUUAAUUCGACGCAACGCGAAGAACCUUACCAAGGCUUGACAUAUACAGGAAUACGGCAGAGAUGUCGUAGCCGCAAGGUCUGUAUACAGGUGGUGCAUGGUUGUCGUCAGCUCGUGUCGUGAGAUGUUGGGUUAAGUCCCGCAACGAGCGCAACCCUCGUUCUGUGUUGCCAGCAUUUAGUUGGGGACUCACAGGAGACUGCCGGGGUUAACUCGGAGGAAGGUGGGGAUGACGUCAAAUCAUCAUGCCCCUUAUGUCUUGGGCUGCACGCAUGCUACAAUGGCUGGUACAAACGGCUGCGAUACCGCAAGGUGGAGCGAAUCCGAGAAAGCCAGUCUCAGUUCGGAUUGGGGUCUGCAACUCGACCCCAUGAAGUCGGAGUUGCUAGUAAUCGUAGAUCAGCAACGCUACGGUGAAUACGUUCCCGGGGCUUGUACACACCGCCCGUCACAUCACGAAAGUCGGUAACACCCAAAGUCAGUGGCCCAACCGCAAGGAGGGAGCUGCCAAAGGUGGGAUCGGUGAUUGGGAUG